GGUUAAGUUAGAAAGGGCGCACGGUGGAUGCCUUGACACUAGGAGUCGAUGAAGGACGGGACUAACGCCGAUAUGCUUCGGGGAGCUGUAAGUAAGCUUUGAUCCGAAGAUUUCCGAAUGGGGAAACCCACCAUACGUAAUGGUAUGGUAUCCUUAUCUGAAUACAUAGGGUAAGGAAGACAGACCCAGGGAACUGAAACAUCUAAGUACCUGGAGGAAGAGAAAGCAAAUGCGAUUUCCUGAGUAGCGGCGAGCGAAACGGAACAUAGCCCAAACCAAGAGGCUUGCCUCUUGGGGUUGUAGGACAUUCUAUACGGAGUUACAAAGGAACGAGGUAGACGAAGCGACCUGGAAAGGUCCGUCGUAGAGGGUAACAACCCCGUAGUCGAAACUUCGUUCUCUCUUGAAUGUAUCCUGAGUACGGCGGAACACGUGAAAUUCCGUCGGAAUCUGGGAGGACCAUCUCCCAAGGCUAAAUACUCCCUAGUGAUCGAUAGUGAACCAGUACCGUGAGGGAAAGGUGAAAAGCACCCCGGAAGGGGAGUGAAAGAGAUCCUGAAACCGUGUGCCUACAAAUAGUCAGAGCCCGUUAACGGGUGAUGGCGUGCCUUUUGUAGAAUGAACCGGCGAGUUACGAUCCCGUGCGAGGUUAAGCUGAAGAGGCGGAGCCGCAGCGAAAGCGAGUCUGAAUAGGGCGUUUAGUACGUGGUCGUAGACCCGAAACCAGGUGAUCUACCCAUGUCCAGGGUGAAGUUCAGGUAACACUGAAUGGAGGCCCGAACCCACGCACGUUGAAAAGUGCGGGGAUGAGGUGUGGGUAGCGGAGAAAUUCCAAUCGAACCUGGAGAUAGCUGGUUCUCCCCGAAAUAGCUUUAGGGCUAGCCUUAAGUGUAAGAGUCUUGGAGGUAGAGCACUGAUUGGACUAGGGGUCCUCAUCGGAUUACCGAAUUCAGUCAAACUCCGAAUGCCAAUGACUUAUCCUUAGGAGUCAGACUGCGAGUGAUAAGAUCCGUAGUCAAAAGGGAAACAGCCCAGACCGCCAGCUAAGGUCCCAAAGUGUGUAUUAAGUGGAAAAGGAUGUGGAGUUGCUUAGACAACUAGGAUGUUGGCUUAGAAGCAGCCACCAUUUAAAGAGUGCGUAAUAGCUCACUAGUCGAGUGACUCUGCGCCGAAAAUGUACCGGGGCUAAAUACACCACCGAAGCUGCGGAUUGAUACCGAAUGGUAUCAGUGGUAGGGGAGCGUUCUAAGGACAGUGAAGUCAGACCGGAAGGACUGGUGGAGUGCUUAGAAGUGAGAAUGCCGGUAUGAGUAGCGAAAGACGGGUGAGAAUCCCGUCCACCGAAUGCCUAAGGUUUCCUGAGGAAGGCUCGUCCGCUCAGGGUUAGUCAGGACCUAAGCCGAGGCCGACAGGCGUAGGCGAUGGACAACAGGUUGAUAUUCCUGUACCACCUCUUUAUCGUUUGAGCAAUGGAGGGACGCAGAAGGAUAGAAGAAGCGUGCGAUUGGUUGUGCACGUCCAAGCAGUUAGGCUGAUAAGUAGGCAAAUCCGCUUAUCGUGAAGGCUGAGCUGUGAUGGGGAAGCUCCUUAUGGAGCGAAGUCUUUGAUUCCCCGCUGCCAAGAAAAGCUUCUAGCGAGAUAAAAGGUGCCUGUACCGCAAACCGACACAGGUAGGCGAGGAGAGAAUCUAACGUGUGCGAGAGAACUCUGGUUAAGGAACUCGGCAAAAUGACCCCGUAACUUCGGGAGAAGGGGUGCUUUCUUAACGGAAAGCCGCAGUGAAUAGGCCCAAGCGACUGUUUAGCAAAAACACAGCUCUCUGCGAAGCCGUAAGGCGAAGUAUAGGGGUGACACCUGCCCGGUGCUGGAAGGUUAAGGAGAGGGGUUAGCGUAAGCGAAGCUCUGAACUGAAGCCCCAGUAAACGGCGGCCGUAACUAUAACGGUCCUAAGGUAGCGAAAUUCCUUGUCGGGUAAGUUCCGACCCGCACGAAAGGUGUAACGAUUUGGGCACUGUCUCAACCAGAGACUCGGUGAAAUUAUAGUACCUGUGAAGAUGCAGGUUACCCGCGACAGGACGGAAAGACCCCGUGGAGCUUUACUGUAGCCUGAUAUUGAAUUUUGGUACAGUUUGUACAGGAUAGGCGGGAGCCUUUGAAACCGGAGCGCUAGCUUCGGUGGAGGCGCUGGUGGGAUACCGCCCUGACUGUAUUGAAAUUCUAACCUACGGGUCUUAUCGACCCGGGAGACAGUGUCAGGUGGGCAGUUUGACUGGGGCGGUCGCCUCCUAAAGUGUAACGGAGGCGCCCAAAGGUUCCCUCAGAAUGGUUGGAAAUCAUUCGUAGAGUGCAAAGGCAUAAGGGAGCUUGACUGCGAGACCUACAAGUCGAGCAGGGACGAAAGUCGGGCUUAGUGAUCCGGUGGUUCCGCAUGGAAGGGCCAUCGCUCAACGGAUAAAAGCUACCCCGGGGAUAACAGGCUUAUCUCCCCCAAGAGUCCACAUCGACGGGGAGGUUUGGCACCUCGAUGUCGGCUCAUCGCAUCCUGGGGCUGUAGUCGGUCCCAAGGGUUGGGCUGUUCGCCCAUUAAAGCGGUACGCGAGCUGGGUUCAGAACGUCGUGAGACAGUUCGGUCCCUAUCCGUCGUGGGCGUAGGAAAUUUGAGAGGAGCUGUCCUUAGUACGAGAGGACCGGGAUGGACGCACCGCUGGUGUACCAGUUGUUCUGCCAAGGGCAUAGCUGGGUAGCUAUGUGCGGAAGGGAUAAGUGCUGAAAGCAUCUAAGCAUGAAGCCCCCCUCAAGAUGAGAUUUCCCAUAGCGUAAGCUAGUAAGAUCCCUGAAAGAUGAUCAGGUUGAUAGGUUCGAGGUGGAAGCAUGGUGACAUGUGGAGCUGACGAAUACUAAUAGAUCGAGGACUUAACCAU
RNAcentral lists this ribosomal RNA (2921 nucleotides) under Bacillus cereus. RNAcentral's name for it is "23S ribosomal RNA". It matches the Rfam family "Bacterial large subunit ribosomal RNA". Lineage: Bacteria; Bacillati; Bacillota; Bacilli; Caryophanales; Bacillaceae. The record is from RNAcentral.